Molecule: ribosomal RNA, 433 nt
Filed under: uncultured bacterium
Lineage: Bacteria
Description: partial 16S ribosomal RNA
Rfam family: Bacterial small subunit ribosomal RNA
Source: RNAcentral
AGCGAACGCUGGCGGCAGGCUUAACACAUGCAAGUCGAGCGGGCCCUUCGGGGUCAGCGGCAGACGGGUGAGUAACACGUGGGAACGUACCCUUUGGUUCGGAAUAACGCUGGGAAACUAGCGCUAAUACCGGAUACGCCCUUUUGGGGAAAGGCUUGCUGCCGAAGGAUCGGCCCGCGUCUGAUUAGCUAGUUGGUGGGGUAAUGGCCUACCAAGGCGACGAUCAGUAGCUGGUCUGAGAGGAUGAUAAGCCACACUGGGACUGAGACACGGCCCAGACUCCUACGGAAGGCAGCAGUGGGGAAUAUUGGACAAUGGGCGCAAGCCUAAUCCAGCCAUGCCGCGUGAGUGAUGAAGGCCUUAGGGUUGUAAAGCUCUUUUGUCCGGGACGAUAAUGACGGUACCGGAAGAAUAAGCCCCGGCUAACUUCGUG